GUCUAUGGCCAUGCCGCCCUGAACAAGCCCGAUCUUGUCUGAUCUCGGAAGCUAAGCAAGGUCAGGCCUGCUAAACAGGGUCAGGCCUGGUUAGUACUUGGAUUGGAGACCAUGUAGGAAGACCAGGUGCUGUAGGCA
This 138-nucleotide ribosomal RNA is filed under the name Pteropus alecto (black flying fox). Lineage: Eukaryota; Metazoa; Chordata; Mammalia; Chiroptera; Pteropodidae. RNAcentral also lists the same sequence under 1 other name. The record is from RNAcentral.